UACGGAGGGUGCAAGCGUUAUCCGGAUUCACUGGGUUUAAAGGGAGCGUAGGCGGGCAGGUAAGUCCGUGGUGAAAGCCCUCAGCUUAACUGAGGAACUGCCAUAGAUACUAUCUGUCUUGAAUAUCGUUGAGGUUUGCGGAAUAGGUCAUGUAGCGGUGAAAUGCUUAGAUAUGACCUGGAACACCUAUUGCGAAGGCAGCAGGCUAAACGAUUAUUGACGCUCAGGCUCGAAAGCGUGGGGAGCAAACAGU
Molecule: ribosomal RNA, 253 nt
Filed under: uncultured bacterium
Lineage: Bacteria
Description: partial 16S ribosomal RNA
Rfam family: Bacterial small subunit ribosomal RNA
Source: RNAcentral